AAUAGAUACCCCGGUAGUCCACGCCGUAAACGAUGGAUGCUAGCUAUUGGGGGGAAUCGACCCCCUCCGAAGCGAAGCUAACGCGUUAAGCAUCCCGCCUGAGUAGUACGAGCGCAAGCUUAAAACUCAAAGGAAUUGACGGGGACCCGCACAAGCGGUGGAGCGUGUGGUUUAAUUCGAUGGUAAACGAAGAACCUUACCAAGGUUUGACAUCCCGGUAGCCGUUCUCCGAAAGGAGAAUUUCAUUUAGUUGGACCGGUGACAGGUGAUGCAUGGCCGUCGUCAGCUCGUGUCGUGAGAUGUUGGGUUAAGUCCCGCAACGAGCGCAACCCUUAUGAUUUAGUUGGAUUUUUCUAAACAGACUACCCUGGUAACAGGGAGGAAGGAGGGGAUGAUGUCAGGUCAGUAUUUCCCUUACACCUUGGGCGACACACGCGCUACAAUGGCCGGUACAAUGGGCAGCUAAGCCGCGAGGUGGAGCAAAUCCCAUCAAAGCCGGUCCCAGUUCGGAUUGCAGGCUGAAACCCGCCUGCAUGAAGCCGGAAUCGCUAGUAACC
RNAcentral lists this ribosomal RNA (557 nucleotides) under uncultured bacterium. RNAcentral's name for it is "bacterial SSU rRNA". It matches the Rfam family "Bacterial small subunit ribosomal RNA", at positions 777 to 1343 of the family's 1533-position model. The record is from RNAcentral.